AAGGCUGAAACUCAAAGGAAUUGACGGGGGCCCCGCACAAGCGGUGGAGCAUGUGGUUCAAUUCGACGCAACGCGAAGAACCUUACCUGGGCUCGAAAUGUAGUGGACCGGGGUGGAAACAUCCCUUCCCGCAAGGGCCGCUAUAUAGGUGCUGCAUGGCUGUCGUCAGCUCGUGUCGUGAGAUGUUGGGUUAAGUCCCGCAACGAGCGCAACCCUUAUUGCCAGUUACUAACACAUCAUGGUGAGAACUCUGGCGAAACUGCCUCGGAUAACGAGGAGGAAGGUGGGGAUGACGUCAAGUCCUCAUGGCCUUUAUGUCCAGGGCUACACACGUGCUACAAUGGUCGGUACAAACCGUCGCAAACCCGCGAGGGGGAGCUAAUCGGAAAAAGCCGGCCUCAGUUCGGAUUGGAGUCUGCAACUCGACUCCAUGAAGCUGGAAUCGCUAGUAAUCGCGGAUCAGCACGCCGCGGUGAAUACGUUCCCGGGCCUUGUACACACCGCCCGUCACAUCACGAAAGUGGGUUGUACUAGAA
RNAcentral lists this ribosomal RNA (536 nucleotides) under uncultured Acidobacteriota bacterium. RNAcentral describes it as "bacterial SSU rRNA". It matches the Rfam family "Bacterial small subunit ribosomal RNA", at positions 890 to 1425 of the family's 1533-position model. Lineage: Bacteria; Pseudomonadati; Acidobacteriota. The record is from RNAcentral.